CAGGCGGUUUGUUAAGUCAGAUGUGAAAUCCCCGGGCUCAACCUGGGAACUGCAUCUGAUACUGGCAAGCUUGAGUCUCGUAGAGGGGGGUAGAAUUCCAGGUGUAGCGGUGAAAUGCGUAGAGAUCUGGAGGAAUACCGGUGGCGAAGGCGGCCCCCUGGACGAAGACUGACGCUCAGGUGCGAAAGCGUGGGGAGCAAACAGGAUUAGAUACCCUGGUAGUCCACGCCGUAAACGAUGUCGACUUGGAGGUUGUGCCCUUGAGGCGUGGCUUCCGGAGCUAACGCGUUAAGUCGACCGCCUGGGGAGUACGGCCGCAAGGUUAAAACUCAAAUGAAUUGACGGGGGCCCGCACAAGCGGUGGAGCAUGUGGUUUAAUUCGAUGCAACGCGAAGAACCUUACCUGGUCUUGACAUCCACGGAAGUUUUCAGAGAUGAGAAUGUGCCUUCGGGAACCGUGGGACAGGUGCUGCAUGGC
RNAcentral lists this ribosomal RNA (478 nucleotides) under Enterococcus faecalis. RNAcentral's name for it is "bacterial SSU rRNA". It matches the Rfam family "Bacterial small subunit ribosomal RNA", at positions 572 to 1049 of the family's 1533-position model. Lineage: Bacteria; Bacillati; Bacillota; Bacilli; Lactobacillales; Enterococcaceae. The record is from RNAcentral.